GCGUUCGUAGCUCAGAUGGAUAGAGCGUCCCCCUCCUAAGGAGAAGGCCCCCGGUUCGAAUCCGGGCGAGCGUACCA
Molecule: transfer RNA, 77 nt
Filed under: Oscillospiraceae bacterium
Lineage: Bacteria; Bacillati; Bacillota; Clostridia; Eubacteriales; Oscillospiraceae
Description: tRNA-Arg
Rfam family: tRNA
About the family: Transfer RNA (tRNA) molecules are approximately 80 nucleotides in length.
Source: RNAcentral